UACGUAGAGGGCUAGCGUUGUCCGGAAUCAUUGGGCGUAAAGCGCGCGUAGGCGGCCCGGUAAGUCCGCUGUGAAAGUCAAAGGCUCAACCUUUGAAUGUCAGCGGAUACUGCCGGGCUAGAGUCCGGAAGAGGCGAGUGGAAUUCCUGGUGUAGCGGUGGAAUGCGCAGAUAUCAGGAGGAACACCAACGGCGAAGGCAGCUCGCUGGGACGGUACUGACGCUGAGGCGCGAAAGCGUGGGGAGCGAACAGG
RNAcentral lists this ribosomal RNA (253 nucleotides) under uncultured bacterium. RNAcentral describes it as "partial 16S ribosomal RNA". It matches the Rfam family "Bacterial small subunit ribosomal RNA", at positions 524 to 776 of the family's 1533-position model. The record is from RNAcentral.